CACAUGCAGUCGAACGGAAUCUUCGGAUUUAGUGGCGGACGGGUGAGUAACCCGUGAGAAUCUGCCUUCAGGAUGGGGACAACAAUUGGAAACGAUUGCUAAUACCCGAUAUGACGAAAGUUGAAAGAUUUAUCGCCUGGAGAUGAGCUCGCGUCAGAUUAGCUAGAUGGUGUGGUAACGGCGCACCAUGGCGACGAUCUGUAGCUGGUCUGAGAGGAUGAGCAGCCACACUGGGACUGAGACACGGCCCAGACUCCUACGGGAGGCAGCAGUGGGGAAUUUUCCGCAAUGGGCGCAAGCCUGACGGAGCAAUACCGCGUGAGGGAGGAAGGCUCUUGGGUCGUAAACCUCUUUUCUCAGGGAAGAACAAAAUGACGGUACCUGAGGAAUCAGCAUCGGCUAACUCCGUGCCAGCAGCCGCGGUAAUACGGAGGAUGCAAGCGUUAUCCGGAAUGAUUGGGCGUAAAGCGUCCGUAGGUGGUUAUGUAAGUCUGUGGUUAAAGCGUGGGGCUCAACCCCAUAAAGGCCAUGGAAACUACACAACUAGAGUCAAGUAGGGGUAGAGGGAAUUCCCAAGGUACGGAGAAAUGCGUAAAGAUUGGGAAGACACCGCGGGCAAUAGCUCUCUACUGAACUUAAACUGACACUGAGGGACGAAGCUAGGG
Molecule: ribosomal RNA, 665 nt
Filed under: uncultured bacterium
Lineage: Bacteria
Description: bacterial SSU rRNA
Rfam family: Bacterial small subunit ribosomal RNA
Source: RNAcentral